AUAACCCUCAAGCAAUGCUUGGUACUGGGUGCAGCCCCCGCGGCUCGCCCGAAAGACAGUGGUGGCUCAACGAGACUCCGAGCGUAGCAAGAUUUACAUAUCCCGCCACGGUAGCCUCUCGAUGAACCCGACCAUCCAAAACACAAGUUCUCACUUCCACGAUUGACCUCGGAUCAGGUAGGGAUACCCGCUGAACUUAA
Molecule: unclassified non-coding RNA, 200 nt
Filed under: soil metagenome
Description: partial contains internal transcribed spacer 2 and large subunit ribosomal RNA
Source: RNAcentral